GGAGCACGCCGCGUGAGUGAUGAAGGUUUUCGGAUCGUAAAACUCUGUUGUUAGGGGAAGAACCAUUACGUCAGGCAAUGGACGUACCUUGACGGUACCUUAUUAGAAAGCCACGGCUAACUACGUGCCAGCAGCCGCGGUAAUACGUAGGUGGCAAGCGUUGUCCGGAAUUAUUGGGCGUAAAGCGCGCGCAGGUGGUUUCUUAAGUCUGAUGUGAAAGCCCACGGCUUAACCGAGGAGGGUCAUUGGAAACUGGGAGACUUGAGUGCAGAAGAGGAAAGUGGAAUUCCAUGUGUAGCGGUGAAAU
Molecule: ribosomal RNA, 307 nt
Filed under: uncultured Rummeliibacillus sp.
Lineage: Bacteria; Bacillati; Bacillota; Bacilli; Caryophanales; Caryophanaceae
Description: bacterial SSU rRNA
Rfam family: Bacterial small subunit ribosomal RNA
Source: RNAcentral